CCCUACGGGAGGCAGCAGUGGGGGAUAUUGCACAAUGGGGGGAACCCUGAUGCAGCGACGCCGCGUGGGUGAAGAAGCGCCUCGGCGCGUAAAGCCCUGUCAGCAGGGAAGAAAAUGACGGUACCUGAAGAAGAAGCCCCGGCUAACUACGUGUCAGCAGCCGCGGUAAUACGUAGGGGGCAAGCGUUAUCCGGAUUUACUGGGUGUAAAGGGGGCGCAGACGGCGAUGCAAGCCAGGAGUGAAAGCCCGGGGCCCAACCCCGGGACUGCUCUUGGAACUGCGUGGCUGGAGGGCAGGAGGGGCA
RNAcentral lists this ribosomal RNA (305 nucleotides) under uncultured bacterium. RNAcentral describes it as "bacterial SSU rRNA". It matches the Rfam family "Bacterial small subunit ribosomal RNA", at positions 337 to 659 of the family's 1533-position model. The record is from RNAcentral.